Molecule: long non-coding RNA, 272 nt
Filed under: Pan troglodytes (chimpanzee)
Lineage: Eukaryota; Metazoa; Chordata; Mammalia; Primates; Hominidae
Description: long non-coding RNA NONPTRT002711
Source: RNAcentral
GCCGGCUCUCAUCGGCUGUGGGAGCAGGAGGCCCCCAGGGAUUUACAGGAGCAUUGUGACUGGACCAAGGACAAAGAAGUUCCCAACCUCCUCGGACCCUCGCUGCUGCCCAGAUGUCUGCCAUGGGGUACUUCUUGACCACACCCUCCUUCUCUUCCCUGCCCUUAACAUAGAAAGAGCCUAAGAUUGUACUGACUUAAAAUGGUACUUUAGAACGCUAGUACACCAUCCUCUCAGUCUUGCUGGCUUUCAGAAUAAAUCAGUAAACCUAC